This 3031-nucleotide long non-coding RNA is filed under the name Monodelphis domestica (gray short-tailed opossum). RNAcentral's name for it is "lncRNA (ENSMODG00000038679.1)". The record is from RNAcentral. Lineage: Eukaryota; Metazoa; Chordata; Mammalia; Didelphimorphia; Didelphidae.
AUGCUCACCCCAGACUCUGCUGAAACAUGUCUCUACUCCCUUGCUCGGGUCAUAGAGAUCUUACCUUCAGCAGAGGAAAACGAGGUCCCCAAGGAGGACUCUGGUCCUCUGGCACCUUCAGAAGAUGCCAGCCUAUCUUGUCAAGGUUACCAUUCCUCCUCUUUCUUUUUCCUGGAAGCCUUGAUUUGGGUGGGAAAUUACAUAUGUGGUAUCUAUACCUACCACCUUCUUUGGGGGAGAGCCACAGUCCUGGGAGAGGUAACAUCUCCUCUGCUGUGGAUGCAAAUGGCCAACAAGUGGGAUGAUCCAGCUGUCUCUCUUUGCCCUGGGCUCCAAAAAUACAAUUCUAGGUCAGUAGGGGCUAGCCUGGGAUGUAUCUGUUUGCUGCUUUCCUGUAUUCUGAGACCUCAUCGAGGAGACUUUUCAGUGAAACCACAAAAUGUGCAGCUCUAAGGUGCUCAUUUCUCUGUCCUUAUGUAAAUGUGUGUGCUUGUAUCCUUGUCGUGUCAAUCCACCAUCAGGAAGCCACACAUGGAAUUAGAGAGUGGCAGGGAACAGGAAGCUGCUGAUGGUCUGGAAGUGACCCCUAUUGUAACCAGUUCAGUGCCAGAGUUCACUCUUAAAUUGUCAGAAUUCCCAGCACUCAAGCUAGGAUCCUUAGGGCCACUGAAGUUUUUUCUUACACUUUCUUCCCUUCUUCUGGUGAAUAAGUUCCCACAGAUUCAGAACGUUCCAUCCUUCCACCUCCAGAAGAAAUGUUGGUGUUUUCUGAGUAACCUAAGGGAUAAACUCUAUCUUGGCAGGCUCUCUGGGAGGAAAGAAAGACAAUAAUUUAAAACCAUGUCUUAAUUACACGACACUGAUCUCUAAAGGCUCAUUCCAUGGCAGCUCCAUCCAUUACUACCAUGAAAUUUUGCUCACUCUGUAGGAAGUAGGAGAACCUAGUUCUGGAAUCAAGGAGACUACAAUAUUGGACCCUGCACUUUAGCAUCCAAGGCAUUACCUACCUGGGGGACACUUUCUCAAUUUCUGUGUCCCCAUCACACAAUUAAAAUGAAGUCUCAUGAGAGGCUUGAGUAGGAUUUUGCAAGUGAUUUCCCAACUCCUCAUCAUCUUUGUCCUGGGUAUCCUGAAUCCCAUCUAGGCUAAAUAGUAAAAGGGACUCAAAAACACGCCUGCUGAUGAGUUAUUGAUUACUCUCUGAGAUCUUGAGCUGCUAGAAACAAGUGCCUGGUCAGAAGAUCCAGGAUACUAGUUCCCAGGCAUUAUAGCUAGGGUUCUGACUGGCAAAUUCAAUGUUGUAGCAACACUAGGAAGCCUUAGGAACUUAAUGAAGUGGUAGGAAAUGAGAAGGCAGAGGUCCUUCGAUAAUCAGAAGUGGAUCAGACAUGUAUAUCCCUGGAUCCACAGUCAACACAAGCACAUUAAACUAAUUAAAAAGACUGCCAACCCAAUUCUCCCUAUAGGGGCUUGUCUCCCACCCCCUUCACAGAAAGAAUUCCCACUAAGUGCCAGGAUUUCCAAGGAUCUUCCCAAGCAUGGCUGUGGCUCCCAGAAAAGGAAGACACAACUAUACAACUUGUUCAGUCAUCAAUCUGAAGAAAAUUUUUAAAAAAUGCACAAGGGUGAGGUGGCUUUCAGGGGACCAGGGGAAGCUGGAAAAGAGUUAGAAUUUGAGGCUGGGGAGACAGAUACUAGCUCUCCCACUUUCAGGGAGUUGGCUCCACAUCAUGGAGUUGCUUGUCCAUUUUGAGGAAAGCUUGUCCAUAACCCUCUGCUAUUUUGGAUAUAUUUUUACUUCCCAAUGUGCCAUGAAGAAUGUUGUGACACCAGGCUGGCCAUGGGGCUGGGAGAGGCGUAUGGGUGUCUAAUUCAGCUCUUUAGUAUUUUAGAGGGAACUGUGAGUACUACACAGUCCCCAUAUUGAGAGACUUAAGGACCUGCAGUGAGGAGGUCCAAGAUUCUAGUUCUGAAGCCACUUUUAUGCCAAUGGUGGCUGUUUCCCCAGAUCAUUUAUUUUCUUUUUUAAAGAAGAGGCUACAAGGCAAGAGAGUGAGUAUUUGUAACUGUCUCUGAUGAGUAUGAGUGGUCCAGACAGGAAUAAUGAUAGCCCUAAAAUGAAAUCUCUGAAAGGGGCCUUAGCCUCUUGACUCUGCCCUAGCCUUUUCUCUACUAUACCUACUCAGGGCCUUUUUCUGGUCCUAUGUUGCUAUAGGCUAGCAAAAACCCCAGAGGGCUAAUGUUUCUAUGAAGAUGGUCAUCUCUCACAACCUCUUAUCCCUUUUUCUUUUGGGGAUUUCAGAGAUUCAUGUUAGGGGAGUGAGAAGGAGGGAGGUUUUGGCUAGACUCUCAUUACCCAGAACAGUUGGCUGAUCUAAAAGUUCCCCUUUUCCCAAACCUAGCCUUCUUUAAAGGCAUUCAGAGUAGUCUAAAGGAAUGGAGUCAACACCCCUCCAUCUUUUCUCCUCACACCAGAAACAGGAUGUGGUUCAGAUAAUUUGGUUGAAUUUGUUGGCUACAUUUUAUUUUGUUUUGAAAUCUGAAAAGAGUUUUUUAUUCCCAAUUUAAAGCUUUUUUUAGCUAAUAGGACCAUGAGAGAAAGGAAGCAAAUCAAAAGAUUUCCUCCAAGUAAAGAACUUCUAGCUAGGAGAUAGAAAGAUAUUCUUAGUCCUUCCAUUAAGCACCAGCUUGCUUUUUGAGCACUGGUGCUAACCAAGGGUCUGGAAAAAAGCUUUGAAGCCCUGAGAAUGGUGAACUUGGCAAAUUGCACUGAAAACACCUUUUUCUUUCCCAGAAGGCACAUGACAUGCCCUUGGGCCACCUCCCUUCCCUUGGGAGCUUCCUACUUCACUGCCACCUCUCUGAGGCUAGGGGGAAGGGAGUGAUUGGAUUAGAGUUCCCAGAAUCCCCAGCCAGUCUCUUGGGCUACUGCUGCGCAGUGGCUCCUCAUUUCCCAGUGUUAGCUUUUUUCUAGAACAAGAUAAAAACUUUUUUUAAUAAAUCCACCCUCCCACUAUACCCUAUCCUGUUU